GCCUAGCAGGCUCAGUCGGUAGAGCAUACGACUCUUGAUCUCAGGGUGUGAGUUCGAUCCCCACAUUGGGCA
Molecule: transfer RNA, 72 nt
Filed under: Felis catus (domestic cat)
Lineage: Eukaryota; Metazoa; Chordata; Mammalia; Carnivora; Felidae
Also listed under: 2 other names
Rfam family: tRNA
About the family: Transfer RNA (tRNA) molecules are approximately 80 nucleotides in length.
Source: Rfam by way of RNAcentral